UACGUAGGGUGCAAGCGUUGUCCGGAAUUAUUGGGCGUAAAGAGCUCGUAGGCGGUCUGUCACGUCGGCUGUGAAAUCCCGAGGCUCAACCUCGGGUCUGCAGUCGAUACGGGCAAACUAGAGUAUUGCAGGGGAGACUGGAAUUCCUGGUGUAGCGGUGAAAUGCGCAGAUAUCAGGAGGAACACCGGUGGCGAAGGCGGUUCUCUGGGAAUAUCCUGACGCUGAGGAGCGAAAGUGUGGGGAGCGAACAGG
Molecule: ribosomal RNA, 253 nt
Filed under: uncultured bacterium
Lineage: Bacteria
Description: partial 16S ribosomal RNA
Rfam family: Bacterial small subunit ribosomal RNA
Source: RNAcentral